GCAUAAGCUGGGUAUCGCUACGUGAAUACAUAGCGUAGCGAGGCGAACCGGGAGAACUGAAACAUCUAAGUACCCCGAGGAAAAGAAAUCAACCGAGAUUCCCUCAGUAGCGGCGAGCGAACGGGGAUUAGCCCUUAAGCAUCUUGGAAGUUAGUGGAACGGUCCUGGAAAGGCCGGCGAUACAGGGUGAUAGCCCCGUACACGAAAACAACCUUGAUGUGAAAUCGAGUAGGGCGGGACACGUGACAUCCUGUCUGAAUAUGGGGGGACCAUCCUCCAAGGCUAAAUACUCCUGACUGACCGAUAGUGAACCAGUACCGUGAGGGAAAGGCGAAAAGAACCCCUGUGAGGGGAGUGAAAUAGAACCUGAAACCGUGUACGUACAAGCAGUGGGAGCCCUUCGGGGUGACUGCGUACCUUUUGUAUAAUGGGUCAGCGACUUACAUUUUGUAGCGAGGUUAACCGUAUAGGGGAGCCGUAGGGAAACCGAGUCUUAACUGGGCGUCUAGUUGCAAGGUGUAGACCCGAAACCGGGUGAUCUAGCCAUGGGCAGGUUGAAGGUUGAGUAACAUCAACUGGAGGACCGAACCCACUAACGUUGCAAAGUUAGGGGAUGACCUGUGGCUGGGGGUGAAAGGCCAAUCAAACUCGGAGAUAGCUGGUUCUCCCCGAAAGCUAUUUAGGUAGCGCCUCGGACGAAUACUACUGGGGGUAGAGCACUGUUUGGGCUAGGGGGUCAUCCCGACUUACCAACCCCAUGCAAACUCCGAAUACCAGUAAGUAAUAUCCGGGAGACACACGGCGGGUGCUAACGUCCGUCGUGAAGAGGGAAACAACCCAGACCGCCGGCUAAGGUCCCAAAGUUCUGGUUAAGUGGGAAACGAUGUGGGAAGGCUCAGACAGCUAGGAUGUUGGCUUAGAAGCAGCCAUCAUUUAAAGAAAGCGUAAUAGCUCACUAGUCGAGUCGGCCUGCGCGGAAGAUGUAACGGGGCUCAAACCAGGCACCGAAGCCGCGGAUUCACGCUAAGCGUGAGUGGUAGGGGAGCGUUCUGUAAGUCUGCGAAGGUGU
RNAcentral lists this ribosomal RNA (1069 nucleotides) under Aeromonas taiwanensis. Its description in RNAcentral is "partial 23S ribosomal RNA". It matches the Rfam family "Bacterial large subunit ribosomal RNA", at positions 135 to 1259 of the family's 2925-position model. Lineage: Bacteria; Pseudomonadati; Pseudomonadota; Gammaproteobacteria; Aeromonadales; Aeromonadaceae. The record is from RNAcentral.